RNAcentral lists this small nucleolar RNA (96 nucleotides) under Hyphopichia burtonii NRRL Y-1933. Lineage: Eukaryota; Fungi; Ascomycota; Pichiomycetes; Serinales; Debaryomycetaceae. The record is from RNAcentral.
CUGGCGGUGAUUAUUUGCAUUAAACCAAUUGUUCCAACUGAAUUAUCCGGGUUGACAACAGCAUUUAUCGUUAAGUUUCAGCCUUGUAUGAGCCUA